This 2129-nucleotide ribosomal RNA is filed under the name Escherichia coli KTE108. RNAcentral describes it as "bacterial LSU rRNA". It matches the Rfam family "Bacterial large subunit ribosomal RNA", at positions 1 to 2157 of the family's 2925-position model. The record is from RNAcentral. Lineage: Bacteria; Pseudomonadati; Pseudomonadota; Gammaproteobacteria; Enterobacterales; Enterobacteriaceae.
UUAAGCGACUAAGCGUACACGGUGGAUGCCCUGGCAGUCAGAGGCGAUGAAGGACGUGCUAAUCUGCGAUAAGCGUCGGUAAGGUGAUAUGAACCGUUAUAACCGGCGAUUUCCGAAUGGGGAAACCCAGUGUGUUUCGACACACUAUCAUUAACUGAAUCCAUAGGUUAAUGAGGCGAACCGGGGGAACUGAAACAUCUAAGUACCCCGAGGAAAAGAAAUCAACCGAGAUUCCCCCAGUAGCGGCGAGCGAACGGGGAGCAGCCCAGAGCCUGAAUCAGUGCGUGUGUUAGUGGAAGCGUCUGGAAAGGCGCGCGAUACAGGGUGACAGCCCCGUACACAAAAAUGCACAUGCUGUGAGCUCGAUGAGUAGGGCGGGACACGUGGUAUCCUGUCUGAAUAUGGGGGGACCAUCCUCCAAGGCUAAAUACUCCUGACUGACCGAUAGUGAACCAGUACCGUGAGGGAAAGGCGAAAAGAACCCCGGCGAGGGGAGUGAAAAAGAACCUGAAACCGUGUACGUACAAGCAGUGGGAGCCUGUUUUGUGGUGUGACUGCGUACCUUUUGUAUAAUGGGUCAGCGACUUAUAUUCUGUAGCAAGGUUAACCGAAUAGGGGAGCCGAAGGGAAACCGAGUCUUAACUGGGCGUUAAGUUGCAGGGUAUAGACCCGAAACCCGGUGAUCUAGCCAUGGGCAGGUUGAAGGUUGGGUAACACUAACUGGAGGACCGAACCGACUAAUGUUGAAAAAUUAGCGGAUGACUUGUGGCUGGGGGUGAAAGGCCAAUCAAACCGGGAGAUAGCUGGUUCUCCCCGAAAGCUAUUUAGGUAGCGCCUCGUGAAUUCAUCUCCGGGGGUAGAGCACUGUUUCGGCAAGGGGGUCAUCCCGACUUACCAACCCGAUGCAAACUGCGAAUACCGGAGAAUGUUAUCACGGGAGACACACGGCGGGUGCUAACGUCCGUCGUGAAGAGGGAAACAACCCAGACCGCCAGCUAAGGUCCCAAAGUCAUGGUUAAGUGGGAAACGAUGUGGGAAGGCCCAGACAGCCAGGAUGUUGGCUUAGAAGCAGCCAUCAUUUAAAGAAAGCGUAAUAGCUCACUGGUCGAGUCGGCCUGCGCGGAAGAUGUAACGGGGCUAAACCAUGCACCGAAGCUGCGGCAGCGACGCUUAUGCGUUGUUGGGUAGGGGAGCGUUCUGUAAGCCUGUGAAGGUGUGCUGUGAGGCAUGCUGGAGGUAUCAGAAGUGCGAAUGCUGACAUAAGUAACGAUAAAGCGGGUGAAAAGCCCGCUCGCCGGAAGACCAAGGGUUCCUGUCCAACGUUAAUCGGGGCAGGGUGAGUCGACCCCUAAGGCGAGGCCGAAAGGCGUAGUCGAUGGGAAACAGGUUAAUAUUCCUGUACUUGGUGUUACUGCGAAGGGGGGACGGAGAAGGCUAUGUUGGCCGGGCGACGGUUGUCCCGGUUUAAGCGUGUAGGCUGGUUUUCCAGGCAAAUCCGGAAAAUUAAGGCUGAGGCGUGAUGACGAGGCACUACGGUGCUGAAGCAACAAAUGCCCUGCUUCCAGGAAAAGCCUCUAAGCAUCAGGUAACAUCAAAUCGUACCCCAAACCGACACAGGUGGUCAGGUAGAGAAUACCAAGGCGCUUGAGAGAACUCGGGUGAAGGAACUAGGCAAAAUGGUGCCGUAACUUCGGGAGAAGGCACGCUGAUAUGUAGGUGAAGUCCCUUGCGGAUGGAGCUGAAAUCAGUCGAAGAUACCAGCUGGCUGCAACUGUUUAUUAAAAACACAGCACUGUGCAAACACGAAAGUGGACGUAUACGGUGUGACGCCUGCCCGGUGCCGGAAGGUUAAUUGAUGGGGUCAGCGCAAGCGAAGCUCUUGAUCGAAGCCCCGGUAAACGGCGGCCGUAACUAUAACGGUCCUAAGGUAGCGAAAUUCCUUGUCGGGUAAGUUCCGACCUGCACGAAUGGCGUAAUGAUGGCCAGGCUGUCUCCACCCGAGACUCAGUGAAAUUGAACUCGCUGUGAAGAUGCAGUGUACCCGCGGCAAGACGGAAAGACCCCGUGAACCUUUACUAUAGCUUGACACUGAACAUUGAGCCUUGAUGUGUAGGAUAGGUGGGAGGCUU